AUAUUUGCGCUUGGGGCAAUGAUACAAUUAGCAAGGUUCCAACCGAGGCAUGUCUAUUGCUGGUCGAAAACUAUUUCCAAAUCCCCCUUUUGGUCUGGGGCUUGAUUUGGGUCAUUGAGAAUUUUUGGAAGGGCUAUUUUUUUAGGUUAAAGCC
Molecule: small nuclear RNA, 154 nt
Organism: Salvia splendens (bonfire salvia)
Lineage: Eukaryota; Viridiplantae; Streptophyta; Magnoliopsida; Lamiales; Lamiaceae
Product: U4 spliceosomal RNA
Exons: 1
Source: RefSeq, a predicted model, not a curated record